RNAcentral lists this small RNA (454 nucleotides) under Rattus norvegicus (Norway rat). Its description in RNAcentral is "uncharacterized LOC108350224". The record is from RNAcentral. Lineage: Eukaryota; Metazoa; Chordata; Mammalia; Rodentia; Muridae.
CAGUCCCGGGCGCCAUCUUGGGACUGCCGCCACACCCGCUCCCCACAACUACUGUUUCUGUAGCUUUGCUUCAUUGAAGGAAUAAUCACUGAAUAACUGUUACUCCUGGAGGGAUUCUCAGCCCACAAGCAUCCAGCCUACAAGCACAGAAGCCAAGCACUGGAGAAGCAAACGGUGUCUUUGAGAUCUUGUCGGCUCACAGGAGAAGAAGCCACGCGAGCCGAAGGCCAACACGGCCACAUCACUCACACAGUCUCGCCUGGUACACUUUACCAUAAACCCAAGCAAGAGCAGAGAUUAAUAAAUUCUCAUGAACCCUAGCGGUGGACUCUAAACGAAGCCUGACCGAAAUGGCAUCUGCCGGGGGACCCUGGAGCAACCUUUCCUUCAGGCUGUGCCAGCAAACAGGUGCGUGGGCCUCCAGAAACAAGAAGCGAAUGUGCUGGGGUCAAAU